RNAcentral lists this ribosomal RNA (420 nucleotides) under uncultured bacterium. Its description in RNAcentral is "bacterial SSU rRNA". It matches the Rfam family "Bacterial small subunit ribosomal RNA", at positions 356 to 773 of the family's 1533-position model. The record is from RNAcentral.
GAGGAAUAUUGGUCAAUGGGCGAGAGCCUGAACCAGCCAUCCCGCGUGCAGGAUGACGGCCCUAUGGGUUGUAAACUGCUUUUCUGCGCCAAGAAACCCCCGCUCGUGAGCGGGGCUGACGGUAGCGCAGGAAUAAGCACCGGCUAACUCCGUGCCAGCAGCCGCGGUAAUACGGAGGGUGCAAGCGUUAUCCGGAUUCAUUGGGUUUAAAGGGUGCGCAGGUGGGAAUGUAAGUCAGUGGUGAAAUACUGCCGCUUAACGGUAGAACUGCCAUUGAUACUGCGUUUCUUGAGUAUGGUUGAGGUAGGUGGAAUGUGUUGUGUAGCGGUGAAAUGCAUAGAUAUGACACAGAACGCCGAUUGCGAAGGCAACUUACUAAGCCAUUACUGACGCUGAGGCACGAAAGCGUGGGUAGCGAAC